UACGGAGGUGGCAAGCGUUGCUCGGAUUCACUGGGUGUAAAGGGCACGUAGGCGGCCGCGUAAGUCCUGCCUGAAAUCCUCUGGCUCAACCAGAGGGGGUGGUAGGAAACUGCGUGGCUAGAGGACAGGAGAGGUGAGCGGAAUUCCCGGUGUAAGGGUGAAAUCUGUAGAUAUCGGGAGGAACACCAGUGGCGAAGGCGGCUCACUAGACUGUAUCUGACGCUGAAGUGCGAAAGCGUGGGGAGCAAACAGG
This 253-nucleotide unclassified non-coding RNA is filed under the name uncultured bacterium. Its description in RNAcentral is "contains 16S-23S intergenic spacer region". It matches the Rfam family "Bacterial small subunit ribosomal RNA", at positions 524 to 776 of the family's 1533-position model. The record is from RNAcentral.